UACGUAGGGUGCAAGCGUUAAUCGGAAUUACUGGGCGUAAAGCGAGCGCAGGCGGUUAUGUAAGACAGAUGUGAAAUCCCCGGGCUCAACCUGGGAACUGCAUUUGUGACUGCAUGGCUAGAGUGUGUCAGAGGGGGGUGGAAUUCCACGUGUAGCAGUGAAAUGCGUAGAGAUGUGGAGGAACACCGAUGGCGAAGGCAGCCCCCUGGGAUAACACUGACGCUCAGGCUCGAAAGCGUGGGGAGCAAACAGG
This 253-nucleotide ribosomal RNA is filed under the name uncultured bacterium. RNAcentral describes it as "partial 16S ribosomal RNA". It matches the Rfam family "Bacterial small subunit ribosomal RNA", at positions 524 to 776 of the family's 1533-position model. The record is from RNAcentral.